This 154-nucleotide non-coding RNA is filed under the name unclassified sequences. Its description in RNAcentral is "DUF2800 RNA". It matches the Rfam family "DUF2800 RNA". Rfam says of the family: Actinobacteria, Firmicutes, Synergistetes (1 example). Terminator (Clostridia) The record is from RNAcentral.
CCGUUUCAAUGUUCAUCUGCUGACGAGUAGAUGCCCAGAGCGGCGAAACGGACACAAGUAAAUAUCAGUCAACCCACUGGGACGGUUGGCCAGUUAAGAAGUGAGGAUUCAUUCUUAUGGCCAAUUAUCAUGGGAUGUCCUGCGUGGAUUCUCA